GCAGUUUGCUCAGCCUAUCCAUUGGAUGGAGCUGCAAGGGGUGAGGACACCAGCAUGAACCUUGUUCAAAAUAUCUAGAAAACUACUACGACCUCAAAAAAGAUGUGAAACAGUUUGUUAGGAGAAAGGACAGUGGUCCUGUUGUUAAAAAAAUCCGAGAAAUGCAGAAGUUCCUUGGAUUGGAGGUGACGGGGAAGCUGGACUCCGACACU
Molecule: long non-coding RNA, 212 nt
Filed under: Homo sapiens (human)
Lineage: Eukaryota; Metazoa; Chordata; Mammalia; Primates; Hominidae
Description: non-protein coding lnc-MMP12-2:1
Source: RNAcentral